AGAGAGCGACGGGCGAUGUGUACACACUUCAGAGCUUAUUUCAUAUAAACAUUUUAUUUUUAAUUUACUACUAAAUCCACCUUUAUAAUAAUUGUACAAUUACUAAUCCGUAAUAAAUUAACUUUAUUGUAACCCACUACUCCCAUAUUUAUUGGCUGCACCUUGACCUGAUGUCAUAGUAAAAAACUAAUUAGAUAAUAUUCUUUAAAAAUAAUCUGACAACGGCGGUAUACAAACUGAAAACAAAAACAUGUAAAUUUAAUCGUGGAAUAUCGAUACAAGAGCAGGUUCCUCUAGUAAGAAUGAAGUACCGCCAAAUUCUUUAGGUUUAAAAAUAUCUUUACUACCCAGGCAAUCAAUAAUAAAGAAUAAUAGGGUAUCUAAUCCUAGUUUAAAGCUUUAUUUCAAAAGAUAUAAAAAUUUUUUAUAACUAUUACAAUAUAUAUUUAAAAAUUUCACCCUCAAAUAUACAAUCAAAAAAUUAUUUAAAAAUGAAUUAUACUUAAUUCCACCAAAAAAUUUUAUUUGACCCCAUCGUAUAACC
RNAcentral lists this ribosomal RNA (544 nucleotides) under Lepidurus lemmoni. Its description in RNAcentral is "partial 12S ribosomal RNA". The record is from RNAcentral. Lineage: Eukaryota; Metazoa; Arthropoda; Branchiopoda; Notostraca; Triopsidae.